CUACGGGUCGCACCAGUGAGGAAUAUUGCACAAUGGAGGAAACUCUGAUGCAGCAACGCCGCGUGGAGGAUGACGCAUUUCGGUGUGUAAACUCCUUUUAUGAGUCAAGAAAAUGACGGUAGCUCAUGAAUAAGCACCGGCUAACUCCGUGCCAGCAGCCGCGGUAAUACGGAGGGUGCAAGCGUUACUCGGAAUCACUGGGCGUAAAGGACGCGUAGGCGGGAUAUCAAGUCAGGUGUGAAAUCCUACAGCUUAACUGUAGAACUGCACUUGAAACUGGUAACCUAGAGGAUGGGAGGGGGAGAUGGAAUUAGUGGUGUAGGGGUAAAAUCCGUAGAUAUCACUAGGAAUACCUAAAGCGAAGGCGAUCUCCUGGAACAUAACUGACGCUAAGGCGUGAAAGCGUGGGGAGCAAACAGGAUUAGAUACCCGAGUAGUC
This 439-nucleotide ribosomal RNA is filed under the name uncultured bacterium. RNAcentral describes it as "partial 16S ribosomal RNA". It matches the Rfam family "Bacterial small subunit ribosomal RNA", at positions 339 to 795 of the family's 1533-position model. The record is from RNAcentral.